GCAAGUCGAACGGGAUCUCUUUUAACAAUCCUUCGGGUGCGUUGAUUGAGUGAGAGUGGCGAAAGGGUGAGUAACGCGUGAGCAACCUGCCUCUAUGUCGGGGACAACAGUUGGAAACGACUGCUAAUACCGGAUGUGGCUUCUAUAUCGCAUGUUUUAGAAGCUAAAGAUUUAUUGCAUAGAGAUGGGCUCGCGUACCAUUAGCUAGUUGGUGAGGUAACGGCUCACCAAGGCGACGAUGGUUAGGUGGUCUGAGAGGACGAUC
Molecule: ribosomal RNA, 265 nt
Filed under: uncultured bacterium
Lineage: Bacteria
Description: partial 16S ribosomal RNA
Rfam family: Bacterial small subunit ribosomal RNA
Source: RNAcentral